CUACAUUACACUCUCUUGAGACCCUGCUGACAUCUCAUUCAGUGCGAGUAGGAAGCGCCCCUGCUUCCCCACCUCAUUCAUUAAUUCAAACGCUAGAGAAAUGACAGGGACGUGCAGCAUCCUUCCACUUAUUCCAGCGCUGCAGCACCAAACUCUUCAGUGAUUCCUGCUAUCUUUCCCAGGCUUCUCAACCCUAUCACUUCUUAGAACUGCACUGUCCUGUUAUGACUGUCUCCCUACCCCUAACUUGUCUUAGCUGUCUCCCCAGUGUCCUGUGUAUAAUGGGCUUUAUCCCAUCCGGAGGGAACAGUUUAUCUCUGGAAGAAUGACAUGUUCAGCUUCAUCGGCUUCUACUUUAAACUAAGUUUUAAAUUGAACAUUUUGACAUGAUGCUUGGCUCCUUUGGAUCUACUUGAUAGCACAGCCUACUGUAAAGAAUGAAAGAGCAAUCAGGCCUCUGACAUGAAAGAAGAGAUUAAUGUGGCAAUCCAGGCAAAAUCGGAGCAGAUGAUCGUUAUGCAGGCAUCUACCUGUUCCUUGUGUCCGGGGCUCGCCAUGUGAGUGAAUAGUGCAAUCCAUUCAAGUGUGAAAGGUUCGCCAAUUAAGGACUGGAAAAGGGCAAAUUGAAUUAAAAAGCAAAUGGAAGAUUAAAGAGAAGAAGUGCUUUAUUGCUAUUGUCCUGCAUAAGAUAAAACAUUUCCUUAUUGCUUUUCCAAUGAAAGAAAGAUACUUAAUGAUCAAAAGAAACCCUAAUAUUAUGCCUGACCAGCUUCUUUGGCCAAUAUACUUUAGAAGGACAUUGCUCCAUGUUGUAUGAACACACUCAUUAUCUGACCUUCACCAUCCAGCACAUCUUUACCCAGGCUAGGGAAACAAAACACAGCAAUAUAUCACUUUUUGAUAAGUGAAUAUGAGGACAGUAGUAAAAUGUACAAAUAAAUGCAGUUAUAGGUGCACUAUCAUGUUCAUGUGGCACUGCAGGUGUAUAUGUAUGUGUCCCUCUCUCUGUCUCACAGAAAUGAAACAGUUGCAACCAGUGGAGGAGGCCAAACUGCAUUAAAGCUGAUGAGGUUCCCUUACAGGAUAGCUCUCUGUAUACAUGUUAUGAACAAAAACUAGAUUUCUAUUAUAAGUUAAAUGCAUUUGAAAUACCAACGUGGUUCUUUUAAGAAACAAAUGUUUUUUAAGAACCAUUACACAAAAAAUAUAUAUUUAUGAUCCAUAAGUUUUUAAUGCAUUAAAACAUAUCCUCAUAUUUGUCUAUCUUUCCUUAUAUCUAAGGUCAGAGACAAAUACAUUGGUAAUUAGGCAACAAAAUAAAGAGAAACAUAUGCUCAUAAGUAAACAAAUCAUCAGCAUCUCACCCGUAGUAUAGAUGGGCCCAGGUGCUCAUGCCCCAGACCUUCAGCUUAAGGGAGCCAUCAUGGAUACAUCACAAAGGUAGAAAAAAGGCAGCCACUCCAGGAUUUUAGUGAAAAAAAGGCAGUUGUUCACGAAAGAGUGAAGUAAAAUCACAAAAGGUUUAUUAUACUAACACAUAAUACAUUAAGGUACCUUAUUUUAAAAUAUCAUUGAACUUCAAGGGGACUUCUUAUUUCAUGGAUAACAUUGCCGAAAUAUAAACCCAUAUCCAUAUCCUUUACAUUCAGGCACCACUGAAAUACUUUGCAAUUCUUUUACACAUUUAAAACCUAUAGUUUGAGUCUAUACCCUCCUUUGGACAAUGCUUGAAAUCUGCCCACUUUUACCAGCAAAUGUCAUUUGUAUGUCAUACAGUGGUGCCAGCCCCCCUGCAAAAAAAAGAAUCUUCAGAGGGGUCCAGCACAUACAGUAAACCCUCACUGCCUGCCCUGGUCCCUGUCUGCUUAUGUGAUAAGAAAGCAGCUGGGGAGGGGUGAUUUUCAUAGCUAUAGAGGAAGCUGUCCCAGUGGUCUAUAAAUGUAAUAUUUGAAGCAUUUAACUUCACUUUCACACAUCACGCUCUGCUAUAAGAAUAUCAGUAGGAUUGUCAGAGGCAUCCUACCCACUUCUGUUAAAUGCAAUAAUACUGGGAGCCAUAAAAAAAACUCAUUGGCAGCUUGUAAUAUUACACUUAACAGAAAGGCUUUCUUAAUAAAUUAAAAAUGUGUCCCUGCACAGUCACCAAGACCUCCAUAAAUACAGUAGAAUUUGGUUCUACAAUAUGAAAAUAUAAUUAAAGCAAGGUGCAUAACUGAUUGUAAGCCAAAUUUGGGCCAUAAAGCUGAUUCUGUAACUUAAUUUAGCUUUCUCGAGAAAAUCUGCAGUAAGGAUUAUAUUUAUUGAUGUUAUAAUUGAAUGAUUAACAUAUAAAUGAACAUUUAUGUAUAUGCUAAAAAUCUACAGGGGUUUUAGUGAAAUUGAGGAAUAUUUGCUCCAUUUUUAUCCAUCUUUUUAAAUUCCAUACAGAGCAGAGAUUAUACAUCAUUCAUAGCAGCCCAGAAGAGGCACGUACCUAGGGUGCAAGGAUGGUGGGGGUGCUAGGACCCUAGGCACAUACCUCCUCUAACACUUUGCAAUGGAUAUUCCGGGCAGGGACUGGAUAUGAGGGUCAAAUUGCUGAGCAGAGUUAGAGAGUUGGUGAGCUCAAACAGCAGGGUGAAAGUAGUUUUUGAGUGGAGGUGGGCGGGGUGAGGCUGGGGGCCUGCCUAAUGUGUUGGCCUGGCUCUGCAUCAGAUGAUGCCCCAGUGGAGCCUACAAUCUAGUCCCUAUCACAUUCACACAAAGGGAAGUUACAUUAGGAAGUAGCCUGCCUGUGUGUUUAUUUAGUAUGUGAGUGAAGCCAAACAAGCACGGGGUAAACAUACAACCUUCUUACAGAUAGGACUUUCUCACAUUUACUUUCCAACUGGGAGCUAAUAAUUUGCUAAAAUUAACUUUAUGCACAUUUCCAAGUUCCUUGCAGAAAUAUUGAGAUAUAUGACAUAGCUUCACACACAAUUGAAAGCAUGAUUUUUUUUCGGUGGCAAAUUGGAAAUAAAGCAAUCAGUGAUGAGUUGGGCUUGCUUCCCACAUCGCCUGUGCGCCAUGCAGAAAACUUCACGUCUGAGAGACAGGAAACAGUCUGGUAAACAAACUUAAUUAAAACAUUAAGAAGAAACUUCACUUCGGAUGACUUCAUUUGGAUGUGCCUUGCUGGAGAGGUAGCCACAAUUAUGUAGCGAGUAACUCAGGGUGCUUCUCUGUAAAUCAUUUCAUACAGAAAGCAGCAUCUUUGCAGCCGAGAAACAUACAUAAUUUACAAGAAUCUCUUGAAAUGUAAGUCAUGUUGGUUAUUUAUUGAUACUGAUUUCGUGGACAUAGUAUCCUGCCUUUUCUGGUGUUAUCAUGAGGAAACAUCUACUGGCAACAUACAUAUUUCCUUUUAUUAUAUCCGCUUGUAUUUCAUGAUCUACUCUACCGUCUUGUGUCAUUUUAUAUAUACAGUGCUUUGACAGGUU
This is a long non-coding RNA of Xenopus tropicalis (tropical clawed frog), 3458 nucleotides long. RefSeq lists it as uncharacterized. NCBI's taxonomy places the organism in Eukaryota, Metazoa, Chordata, Amphibia, Anura, Pipidae. The transcript is spliced from 3 exons. The record is from RefSeq and is a predicted model, not a curated record.